This 340-nucleotide long non-coding RNA is filed under the name Brassica napus (rape). RNAcentral describes it as "long non-coding RNA (BNAP_LNC001474)". Lineage: Eukaryota; Viridiplantae; Streptophyta; Magnoliopsida; Brassicales; Brassicaceae. The record is from RNAcentral.
UCGUCCACUUCAUUUUUUUAGGUGGCAUAGUAAAAAAUCAUCAUCAAAAUCUAAAAAUUACAAAUAUAAAACUGAAAAGGAAAAACCUAAUUUUUUUUGUCAGCAUCUAACUUUUUAAUUGAAAACUUAGAAUAUAAAACAUAAUCUAAAAACUAAAAAAAAGAGUAAAACUUAUUUAUUGGUUCAACCGGCGGUUCAACCGGUAUCGGAUUCCGGGGUUUAAUGGGUUUUUGCGGGUUUUUACGGUUUUUUGCGAGUUUUUAAAUAUUGGGUUUUUCAUAAAACCCAAACCGGAUUUUUUCUGGGUCACCGGAUUUAUCGGUUCAACCGCGGGUCCGGG